AUACGUAGGUGGCGAGCGUUGUCCGGAAUGACUGGGCGUAAAGGGCGGGUAGGCGGCGGUGUAAGUCUGGAGUGAAAGUCCCGCUUUCAAUGUGGGAAUUGCUUUGGAUACUGCAGUGCUAGAGUGCGGAAGAGGUGAGUGGAAUUCCCAGUGUAGCGGUGAAAUGCGUAGAGAUUGGGAGGAACACCAGUGGCGACGGCGACUUCCUGGCCGUAACUGACGCUGAGGCGCGAAAGCGUGGGGAGCGAACAGGAUUAGAUACCCUGGUAGUCCACGCGGUAAACGAUGAAUGCUAGGUGUUGCGGGUAUCGACCCCUGCAGUGCCGGAGUAAACACAAUAAGCAUUCCGCCUGGGGAGUACGGCCGCAAGGUUGAAACUCAAAUGAAUUGACGGGG
Molecule: ribosomal RNA, 396 nt
Filed under: uncultured bacterium
Lineage: Bacteria
Description: partial 16S ribosomal RNA
Rfam family: Bacterial small subunit ribosomal RNA
Source: RNAcentral